RNAcentral lists this long non-coding RNA (1057 nucleotides) under Chloebia gouldiae (Gouldian finch). Its description in RNAcentral is "Erythrura gouldiae (Gouldian finch) lncRNA (ENSEGOG00005005151.1)". Lineage: Eukaryota; Metazoa; Chordata; Aves; Passeriformes; Passeridae. The record is from RNAcentral.
CUGGGGACACAGCAGGAGGAGCUGGAGCUGCUGGAGAGAGCCCAGAGGAGGCCCCAGAGCUGCUCCAAGGGAUCCCCUCUGCUCUGGGAGAGCUGGGCUACUCAGAGAAGCUGUGGCAUCCCUGGAAGUGCCCAAGGCCAGGUCGGGCUGGGUUUGGAGUACUCUGGGCUAAUGUGAGAUGUCUCUGCCCAUGGCAGGGGGCUGGAAUGAAUCUCUAAGGUCCCUUCCAUCCCAGACCCUUCUGUGAUUCCGCGAUUCUAAGCCACAGUGAUGGAUUUAGGGGUCUAACAAGAAGGUGAAGGCAGAGUGAGUGGGAUAGCACAGGACAGCGUGGUGGCCACACUUGUCACCAGCCCAGCUCCGCUUCCCAUUACACUUAUCCCGCACAGAAAGGUUUGCACAAGGCCGAGCCGCUGUCAGCCCCCUCCGGCGGAGGAAAUUGCGGCAGGAUGCUCCGGCAGCCGCCGGCACGGCUUCCUGCGCCUCUGCAGGGGGUGCCAAAGCCCUGCGGCCAGCCGGGCUCAGCCCGGGGGAUGCCACCCGCACGGAGCCCAGCGCGACCCUCGUGGGCACUGUCAGCCCGUUGUCAGCACGGUGACAACGACCCCAGAGCUUUUCAGUUCAGUGGGCUCAGAGAGCCCACCCAGCCUCCUCCGGGCUGCUCUGAGCAGGCCAGGAGGAGAUCAGCUUUCCUCAGAGGCUGAGAGCAGCGUGGCAGAUGUGGUGGCACAGCCGCAUGAGCCCCCUGCCCCAGCCGUGUCGCUGGGCAGCAUCUGUCGCCGCUCCGCCCGUGGGUGCCACCCGCGCCCGGAGGGCAGCAGGUCCCGGAGGGCCCCUUCUCCUCGCUUCCCUCGCUCCCUGCCCUACCCUACCCUGCCCCGGCUGCAGCCCUGGCCGGAGGCACAGCCCGCGCUUCUCCUGCUGCCCUGGGCACAAACCUGCCUGGAAGGGGGUAGCCACUGGGAAGGGGAAACUGAGGCAGGGAGGACGUGCACAAGCUCCAGCCAGAAGCAUGGAGCACAAGGCACCAGAGAGAGAGAGAGACAAACUAGUCCAG